GACGAACGCUGGCGGCGUGCUUAACACAUGCAAGUCGAGCGGUAAGGCCCUUCGGGGUACACGAGCGGCGAACGGGUGAGUAACACGUGGGUGAUCUGCCCUGUACUUCGGGAUAAGCCUGGGAAACUGGGUCUAAUACCGGAUAUGACCUUACAUCGCAUGGUGUUUGGUGGAAAGAUUUAUCGGUACAGGAUGGGCCCGCGGCCUAUCAGCUUGUUGGUGGGGUAAUGGCCUACCAAGGCGACGACGGGUAGCCGGCCUGAGAGGGCGACCGGCCACACUGGGACUGAGACACGGCCCAGACUCCUACGGGAGGCAGCAGUGGGGAAUAUUGCACAAUGGGCGGAAGCCUGAUGCAGCGACGCCGCGUGAGGGAUGACGGCCUUCGGGUUGUAAACCUCUUUCGACUCCGACGAAGCGAAAGUGACGGUAGGAGUAUAAGAAGCACCGGCCAACUACGUG
Molecule: ribosomal RNA, 462 nt
Filed under: Nocardia farcinica
Lineage: Bacteria; Bacillati; Actinomycetota; Actinomycetes; Mycobacteriales; Nocardiaceae
Description: bacterial SSU rRNA
Rfam family: Bacterial small subunit ribosomal RNA
Source: RNAcentral